RNAcentral lists this ribosomal RNA (323 nucleotides) under uncultured bacterium. RNAcentral describes it as "bacterial SSU rRNA". It matches the Rfam family "Bacterial small subunit ribosomal RNA", at positions 197 to 507 of the family's 1533-position model. The record is from RNAcentral.
GGGUUAAAAGGCGCGUACGGCGUCACCUAGAGAGUGGACUCCGCGGUGCAUUAGUUAGUUGGUGGGUAAAGGCCUACCAAGACAAUGAUGCAUAGCCGAGUUGAGAGACUGAUCGGCCACAUUGGGACUGAGACACGGCCCAAACUCCUACGGGAGGCUGCAGUAGGGAAUCUUCCACAAUGGGCGAAAGCCUGAUGGAGCAACGCCGCGUGUGUGAUGAAGGCUUUCGGGUCGUAAAGCACUGUUGUAUGGGAAGAACAGCUAGAGUAGGGAAUGACUUUAGUUUGACGGUACCAUACCAGAAAGGGACGGCUAAAUACGUG